GGUCCCGUAGCUCAGCUGGAUAGAGCGCCAGCCUUCUAAGCUGGAUGUCGCAGGUUCGAGCCCUGCCGGGAUCGCCA
RNAcentral lists this transfer RNA (77 nucleotides) under Mesorhizobium sp. Its description in RNAcentral is "tRNA-Arg". It matches the Rfam family "tRNA". From Rfam's summary of the family: Transfer RNA (tRNA) molecules are approximately 80 nucleotides in length. Their secondary structure includes four short double-helical elements and three loops (D, anti-codon, and T loops). The record is from RNAcentral. RNAcentral also lists the same sequence under 2 other names. Lineage: Bacteria; Pseudomonadati; Pseudomonadota; Alphaproteobacteria; Hyphomicrobiales; Phyllobacteriaceae.